RNAcentral lists this long non-coding RNA (223 nucleotides) under Vigna radiata. RNAcentral describes it as "long non-coding RNA (VRAD_LNC016874)". The record is from RNAcentral. Lineage: Eukaryota; Viridiplantae; Streptophyta; Magnoliopsida; Fabales; Fabaceae.
GACUUUCACUCUCUUUGUUCUUCUUCUUCAUUUUCUUUUUCCUCGACGAGCUUGGUGGGUGAGUUUGUGGAUGUGGUGCUUACAUUUUGUGAGUUAUGAUCUUGUGGUGGUCUCGUUGUGUUGGCUAUGGUUCUGGUGCAUUAGUGGUGGCCGUUUUAGUGUUGUGGUUCGCCAGAGGAGAAAAAGGAUAAGUUGACAUUCGAGGUAAGAAGCUAAGGUCGUG